UGCGCAGGCGGCCUUGUCAGUCAGAGGUGAAAUCCCGGGGCUCAACUCCGGAACUGCCUUUGAUACUGCAGGGCUUGAAUACGGUUGAGGUAGGCGGAAUGUAGCAUGUAGCGGUGAAAUGCAUAGAUAUGCUACAGAACACCGAUCGCGAAGGCAGCUUACCAAGCCGAUAUUGACGCUCAGGCACGAAAGCGUGGGUAGCGAACAGGAUUAGAUACCCUGGUAGUCC
RNAcentral lists this ribosomal RNA (229 nucleotides) under uncultured bacterium. RNAcentral describes it as "partial 16S ribosomal RNA". It matches the Rfam family "Bacterial small subunit ribosomal RNA", at positions 568 to 796 of the family's 1533-position model. The record is from RNAcentral.